Molecule: ribosomal RNA, 301 nt
Filed under: uncultured bacterium
Lineage: Bacteria
Description: partial 16S ribosomal RNA
Rfam family: Bacterial small subunit ribosomal RNA
Source: RNAcentral
CACAGCCGCGGUAAUACGUAGGUGGCAAGCGUUGUCCGGAAUUAUUGGGCGUAAAGGGCUCGCAGGCGGUUUCUUAAGUCUGAUGUGAAAGCCCCCGGCUCAACCGGGGAGGGUCAUUGGAAACUGGGAAACUUGAGUGCAGAAGAGGAGAGUGGAAUUCCACGUGUAGCGGUGAAAUGCGUAGAGAUGUGGAGGAACACCAGUGGCGAAGGCGACUCUCUGGUCUGUAACUGACGCUGAGGAGCGAAAGCGUGGGGAGCGAACAGGAUUAGAUACCCCCGUAGUCCCUGUCUCUUAUACA